This 1110-nucleotide long non-coding RNA is filed under the name Heterocephalus glaber (naked mole-rat). RNAcentral describes it as "lncRNA (ENSHGLG00000033789.1)". Lineage: Eukaryota; Metazoa; Chordata; Mammalia; Rodentia; Bathyergidae. The record is from RNAcentral.
GGGGAUAGCCAGAGCGACCUCUGAUGUUCUUGGCACCGAACCACAACAGGCACAGAAGGGGCCUUGAGAUCAUCCAGUGCAGCCCCUCCCUUUGCAGAGAGGAGCUGGGGCCCAGGAGGGGCGUGGUCUGGGCCCGUUUCCCGGGUCCUUCGCCAGCCAGCGCACUGGGCACCCCGGUGACGAUUUUCACAGGGAAGAGCCAAGCAUACAGUUGGCACCAGCCAAUGUUCCAAGGUUCCUCGGUUGGAAGCUUCCUUUGGACCUAAAAUCUGGUCACUGGGAGAAGCGGCUGUGACUCAGGUCUGGAAGUCCUCUUCCAUCUUUCUAAGGUGUGAUCAAAAAUACAGUGACUGUCACUACUGAGAACAAUGCAAGAGAAAGGAGGGCUCCUAAAAACAUCCCGGUGUGUCCACAUCCAGCUUAUUCACCAAUCUUGGACGUACAACUUCUGCCUCUUCCCCAAAGUCGAAAUGAUCAUGGAAGGAUAUCAAGGCAGCCACAACAGCACAACUAAAGACAUUCAUGAAAGAGGACUUCCAGAACUGCUUCAGAAAGUGGCAAGAAUGAUGAGAUAAGUAUUUUCAAAACAAGGGGAUUUGGCCGGGGAUUUAGCUCAGUGGUGUAGCCCCCUGCUACACAAGCGCAAGGACCCAAGCUCGAUCCCCAGUAUAUAAAAAAAAAAAACACAAGAGGGUUUAUUUUAGAGAGGAUUAAUGGAAAAGUGGUUUUUACCAUAAUGAAUUUUAAAAAUUUAAAAAUUCACAGUAUAUUUCAAUCACAACAUUGUUCAUGGAGCAGGGGAUAAUUGACAUCUUUACUACACUGAGACUUCUUGACCAUGAACACAAUAUACCUCUUGAUAUAUUUAGAUCUUUGGUUCUUCAUGUGUUUUGUAGUUUUCAGCAUAUGAGUAAGUCCUGUACAUGUUUUGCUAGAUUUAUACCUACAUUUUUUUGAGUGAUUGGAAAUGGUAUUAUUUUUAAUUUCAUUAUCCAUGUCUUCACUGCUAAAAUGGAAACACAACUGAUUUUUGUAUGUUUAUCUGACAUUAUUCAAUUUUACUGAACUUGUAUAUAAUUUCUAGUAGUUUAUUGUGUGUGUGUGUGUGUG